GCAGACGCGGGUUGGAUCCUGUGUUGCUGUGGCUGUAGUGUAGACUGGCAGCUAUAGCUCCGAUUGGACCUCUAACCUGGGAACCUCCAUAUGCGGCCUAAAAAGCAAAAAAAAAUAAAAAAAAAUGUUUGAAAAUGCUAGAAUGUUUUAAUUAAUGUUGGUACUUGAGAAGUAAUACUAUGUAAUGGAGAAUGAUUGUUUGACUUUUUGCAUAUAGGUAGAGAUAUUUCAGAUGACAUAUUUGAUGCGUGAGAAUUACUGAAAUUAGGCAGUAAGUUAUAUUUAAAGGAGUCAAUGUGAGAAUAGUUGGAUAUAGACAGAAAACUUAAGUUGGGAAUUGUUUUCUAGCUUAUAACCUUUCUCUCAUUAUCUGUUAUUAAUAGGUUAUAAAAACAAAGACUAAUAAAGAUACUGAUAAUCUGAACUUUUGCCUUUUAUACCCUUUAAAAUAGCAAAGAAAUUUGUUUUCUAAAAUGAGCUGUAGUAGAAGAAUUACUUUGUAAUGUUGAUCAAGUCCUUACCUUCCCUAUAGAAAUAAUAAUAAUAAUAUUAUUAUUAUCAUCUUUUUAGGGCUGCACUUGCAGCAUAAGGAGGCUCCUAGGCUAGAGUUCAAAUUGGAGCUGUAGCCAAUGGCCUUCACCACAGCCACAGCAACAUGGAAUCUGACAUUGCCAUGAGCUGUGGUGUGGGUCGCAGAUGCGGCUUAGAUCCCGAGUUGCUGUGGCUCUGGUGUAGGCCGGUGGCUACAGCUCCGAUUAGACCCCUAGCCUGGGAACGAACCUCCAUAUGCCACGGGAGCGGCUCAGGAAAAGGCAAAAAAAAAAAAAAAUCAUUGUAUAUCUCGUGCUCAUCACAUCACGGUGCUUGACCAUAUUAAGUUCACAUUUAAAUAUUGGUAAAUUGUGUGAUAUCUUUAUUUUCUACUUCUGCCCCCAAUCUCCUGAGUAUUCAACCUUUGCUAAUGGUUAGUGCCUUUGGACCUAUCACGGAGAAGGAAUUUUUCCUCGAUCUUCCCCUUUCCCUCGUUCUUUUGGGUGGCCUAAGAAUUAAAUUGACAUGAGACCAACUGACAGGAGGAAAGUCACACAAAAGUUUAAUAACGUGUAUGUGAGAGACCCAGGAAAACUGAGUAACUCACUAAAAUGCCUGAAACCCUCACCUUAAAUUCCAUCUUCAACUGAAGACAAAAGAGGAUGUUGGGGUUAGUGGUUUGAGACUUCAAAGGGGAGGAAAGCAAUUGACUUGGAGAUGGAAAAGCAAAAAUUGGGUAGAUAAAUGUUUGCUGGGCCAUUCAGAGACAAUGGGACACAGAGCAGACUCUGACCUCUAGGCAGCACCUCGAGUUUCCCUCCACCACACAUAGCCCAUAUUCUUCAUAGAUAUCUCUGGUGAUAGUCUUGGAACAGGCUCUCUAUCUAAUUUUUUUUUUUUUAAGGUCAGGGGAAAGGUGAAAGUCUUUAGGGCCCUCACUGUUUCCAGCUUGAAAUAAUCCAUAUGCCAAAGAGAUAUUUGGGGGUGGCAAGUUUUGCUACCCUAUAGAUCCCGACUCGAUUUUACACUAGUUUUUGUUCUGUGUAGAAUACCUUUAACUUCAGUCUUCAGCUGUAAGAGGUGGGAAACGGCUGUAGAGAAAGCAAUAGAGCAGACCUGCACAGGGGAGAGGAAAUGGAGGGGUGAGAAAGGGUACAUUUUUGCUUUUGGCACCUGACAUGAGAAGGGACUCUUAGAGCUGUAUUUAUCAGGUCAGUAUGUUUCCGUGAUCAUUAACAUUAUGUAAAGAGUACAGUAACACUGAACGAUUUUUAAUCUAAAAGUUAAAAGGCAAAUAGGUUUUAUAUUUGUUAAGUUGGAGAAAUAUUUGAGUACUGUUGAUUUUAUCUGAAUUGUAGAAUUGGAAAUUCUGCAGUCUGUAAAAGAGCAAGUUAAAAAUUGACAGUACUCUUAACCUACAUACAGGUGAUAUUUUCUUAUGUAAACAGAUACCUGACACCUUGGGGAAGAAAAGGAAAGGGAGACAAUGAAAAGCUGUUUAACUUAGAAUGUAAAUAGGAACUGUAGAAUAUAAAGAGUGAGUUGUUAAGUGUUAUUGAGCGGGAUUUUGCUUUUCUUAAGCACUUAUAAGUGAACUUUUAAGUUCACUAAUUUAGUGGAGGUUAUUUCUCUCAUAGAAACAAAAUCGAUUGUAUCAACAGUGUAAAGUACCAUUAACUAAUAUUUCUAUUUUUUAUAAAAAAUAGGAGUUUUGAAUUUUCCACGGGAUUAUUAAGGGACUUGAUAACAUGUUGCUGCUUUAACGGGAAGACUGUAUCUACUCCUCAGAUAGUUUGGAAAGGCAGUCUCUAAGUGUCAGUGUCAGAAGUAAAGCCAGUUUUGAUGGAUUUUAUUUGUCAUUAUUGAGCAUACAGUUAUAGGUUGCAGCUUGAAAGUUUUGGUAUCAUGGAAGAUGAUGGACCAAAAACUGCGACUGGGGUCAGCCUUUCUGUAUGUAUUUUUUCUGUUUGUUUACUUGGAAAAAACCUUAAAAAGAUUUGUUUUUAUACCAGUAGCUGUUUCUGACUAGUGUAUAAUGUGAAUUUAUAUUUGCAUAGCACUUUAUAACGUGUGUUUUCAUAUGUACUCUUUUAUGUCGUUAACUUGUAAUAGAUUAUAGUAUUCUACUUAGGGAGUAUAUUUCUGAACUAGUGUUUAGAAAAUGUAAAUAUAGCUCACUCUAAAUAUCUGAAGUUGGGGAGUUCCCAUCGUGCUGCAGUGGUUAACGGAUCCGACUAGGAACCAUAAGGUUGCGAAUUCGAUCCCUGGCCUUGCUCAGUGGGUUAAGGAUCCAGCGUUGCCAUGAGCUGUGGUGUAGGUUGCAGACUCAGCUCCGAUCCCGCGUUGCUGUGGUUGUGGUGUAGGCUAGCAACCACAGCUCCGAUUAGACCCCUAGCCUGGGAACCUCCAUAUGCUGCAGGUGCGGCCCUAGAAAAGACAAAAAGACAAUAAAUAAAUAAAUAAAUAAAUAUCUGAAGUUAGAAAUUAAACUUUUGUUUUUAUAAUAGGAGGAAAAUAGAUUUGCAGAAUUUCUUAGGUACUUAGUCUUUAAAAAUCUAUAUAAAUGUUAAUACAGUUUUAAAACAUUACUAACCAUUCAGUUUUGUGGGACUUUUAGUGGCUGGAGAUAUAAAAGCAAAAUAUAGGUGUUAUUGCCUCAGUAGAAUAAAGGGCUUCAUACACAGGCCUAAAGAUUCUACAUGUACAUUAGUAAGUAAUUGGAAAUAACUCUGUAGCCAGACUGAUUUUCAGAUUUACCUACACGUACCUCUGUUUGAAAAGAUAAAUAGAAAUUAUUAGUAAAUAGUGUUUUGAAUAUUUCAGGACUUAGUUAAUGCAUAUCUAGAGCAAUAAUGAUGGUAUACACCACUAAUUUUUUGUUAACCUUGAUUAAUCUAAGGGUGGAAAUGGUAGCAUUACUGUGUAUUAAUGAUACAUAUACUUAUGCAGUGUGUAUUUUUGGAACUUUAAAGCCUGUAGAGUAACUCAGAACUGGGUGACAAAGCAUCGUGAAAGGCAGGGGUCUUUGGGAGAUACUUCAGUGAAAGUGAAUGAUAUAUAAAUAGCAUAUCAAAUAUCCCUAAAUCUUACCUUCUGUAUGUUUAAAAAACCUUUUUUCCCCCUUAAGACUAUUAAAUAAUUAUUGAGAAUUUUUUUGAACUCAAUAAGCUUAACAAUAUUUUUUGCCCACAAUUCUAACCAAGUCAUCAUCCAAAUUUAUCAAAAUCCAAAUGAGUGGAAUUUAUUAGAUGAAAUUUUGUUGUAUAUUUUUCUUUUGAGAAGUGAGAAGGAAUUUAAAAGUAGUGAAACUCAACGUAGUAAAUAUCAAAUUUAUAUAACAAUUCAGAGAAAAAAUAGUGAUUGGAAAACAAGUGCAAUAUCUAUUUUAGUGACUAACCAAAUCCUGAAAUACUGCUGUGCAAAGGACUUUUAGAAGUAUUAGCAAGAGUUCCUGUUGUGGCUCAGCAGAUUAAGAACCUGACAUAGUGUCUCUGAGGAUGCAUGUUUGAUCCCUGGCCUCACUCAACAGGUUAAAGAUCCAGGGUUGCAGCAAGCUGCAAUGUAGGUCACAGAUGCAGAUUGGAUCUAGUGUUGCUGUGGCUGUGGUGUAGGCUGGCAGGUGCAGUUCAGAUUCGAUCCCUAGCACAGGAACUUCACUAUGCCGCAGGUGUGGCUGUAAAAAGAAAGAAAAAAAAAA
This 4228-nucleotide long non-coding RNA is filed under the name Sus scrofa (pig). RNAcentral's name for it is "lncRNA (ENSSSCG00015019861.1)". The record is from RNAcentral. Lineage: Eukaryota; Metazoa; Chordata; Mammalia; Artiodactyla; Suidae.